CCCCUUCCCUUUCACGAAUGUGACCUACCGAAUUAGACUAUUUACCGGAUUUGUAAUCACAUAAGCAACACGACGGGUGCCACAUGUGGAGCAGGAUCUGCUUACCCUUCCGGAGCACCUGAGAUCACCCCUAGUUUUUGGUGGGGUUCGUGUUGUUUAUUCUUUAGUUUUCUAUGUUGUGUCAUAUGUACUAUUGUUUUUC
Molecule: long non-coding RNA, 202 nt
Filed under: Mytilus galloprovincialis (Mediterranean mussel)
Lineage: Eukaryota; Metazoa; Mollusca; Bivalvia; Mytilida; Mytilidae
Source: RNAcentral